UACGUAGGGUGCGAGCGUUAAUCGGAAUUACUGGGCGUAAAGCGUGCGCAGGCGGUUUCGUAAGCCAGACGUGAAAUCCCCGAGCUUAACUUGGGAACUGCGUUUGGUACUGCGAGGCUAGAGUACGGCAGAGGGAGGUGGAAUUCCACGUGUAGCAGUGAAAUGUGUAGAUAUGUGGAGGAAUACCGAUGGCGAAGGCAGCCCCCUGGGCUAACACUGACGCUCAUGCACGAAAGCGUGGGGAGCAAACAGG
This 253-nucleotide ribosomal RNA is filed under the name uncultured bacterium. RNAcentral describes it as "partial 16S ribosomal RNA". It matches the Rfam family "Bacterial small subunit ribosomal RNA", at positions 524 to 776 of the family's 1533-position model. The record is from RNAcentral.